This 761-nucleotide ribosomal RNA is filed under the name Homophron spadiceum. Its description in RNAcentral is "partial 28S ribosomal RNA". It matches the Rfam family "Eukaryotic large subunit ribosomal RNA", at positions 131 to 881 of the family's 3401-position model. The record is from RNAcentral. Lineage: Eukaryota; Fungi; Basidiomycota; Agaricomycetes; Agaricales; Psathyrellaceae.
UGCCCGUCCGAGUUGUAAUCUAGAGAAGUGUUACCCGUGCCGGACCGUGUAUAAGUCUCCUGGAAUGGAGCGUCAUAGAGGGUGAGAAUCCCGUCUUUGACACGGACUACCGGUGCUUUUGUGGUGCUCUCAAAGAGUCGAGUUGUUUGGGAAUGCAGCUCAAAAUGGGUGGUAAAUUCCAUCUAAAGCUAAAUAUUGGCGAGAGACCGAUAGCGAACAAGUACCGUGAGGGAAAGAUGAAAAGAACUUUGGAAAGAGAGUUAAACAGUACGUGAAAUUGCUGAAAGGGAAACGCUUGAAGUCAGUCGCGUUGGCCGGAAAUCAACCCUGCUUUUGCUGGGCGUACUUUCUGGUUGACGGGCCAACAUCAGUUUUGACCGGUGGAAAAAGUCUAGGGGAAUGUGGCAUCUUCGGAUGUGUUAUAGCCCUUGGUCGUAUACAUCGGUUGGGACUGAGGAACUCAGCACGCCGCAAGGCCGGGUCUUUGACCACGUUCGUGCUUAGGAUGUUGGCAUAAUGGCUUUAAUCGACCCGUCUUGAAACACGGACCAAGGAGUCUAACAUGCCUGCGAGUAUUUGGGUGGAAAACCCGAGUGCGUAAUGAAAGUGAUAGUUGAGAUCCCUGUCGUGGGGAGCAUCGACGCCCGGACCAGACGUUCUCUGACGGCUCCGAGGUAGAGCAUGUAUGUUGGGACCCGAAAGAUGGUGAACUAUGCCUGAAUAGGGUGAAGCCAGAGGAAACUCUGGUGGAGGCUCGUAGC